This 440-nucleotide ribosomal RNA is filed under the name uncultured bacterium. RNAcentral's name for it is "bacterial SSU rRNA". It matches the Rfam family "Bacterial small subunit ribosomal RNA", at positions 338 to 770 of the family's 1533-position model. The record is from RNAcentral.
CCUACGGGGGGCAGCAGUAGGGAAUCUUCCACAAUGGGCGAAAGCCUGAUGGAGCAACGCCGCGUGGGUGAAGAAGGUCUUCGGAUCGUAAAACCCUGUUGUUAGAGAAGAAAGUGCGUGAGAGUAACUGUUCACGUUUCGACGGUAUCUAACCAGAAAGCCACGGCUAACUACGUGCCAGCAGCCGCGGUAAUACGUAGGUGGCAAGCGUUAUCCGGAUUUAUUGGGCGUAAAGGGAACGCAGGCGGUCUUUUAAGUCUGAUGUGAAAGCCUUCGGCUUAACCGGAGUAGUGCAUUGGAAACUGGGAGACUUGAGUGCAGAAGAGGAGAGUGGAACUCCAUGUGUAGCGGUGAAAUGCGUAGAUAUAUGGAAGAACACCAGUGGCGAAAGCGGCUCUCUGGUCUGUAACUGACGCUGAGGUUCGAAAGCGUGGGUAGCA